GAAUUCAAGCAGAACCUGGAUAGAUACCAGGUUCAAUGUUCUAUGUGGCAAGCAAUGAAGAUUCUUGGCCAGGAAUUUGGAUUUUAUAUCCCUGUUAUGCCGGUUGGAGGAAGAGUUGAAUCAGAUGCAGGGGAACGAAGAACAUGCAUCUUUACAUUACAAAGAGAAUUAGAAUAACAGAAUUAUUUCUUAUAUCAAAUAAUACUAUAAUCUAAAUAAUAAAGCUCUUCGCUUUUGUA
Long non-coding RNA from Eurytemora carolleeae, 239 nucleotides. RefSeq lists it as uncharacterized. The transcript is spliced from 3 exons. The record is from RefSeq and is a predicted model, not a curated record. Lineage: Eukaryota; Metazoa; Arthropoda; Copepoda; Calanoida; Temoridae.